Non-coding RNA from Ciona intestinalis (vase tunicate), 1407 nucleotides. Lineage: Eukaryota; Metazoa; Chordata; Ascidiacea; Phlebobranchia; Cionidae. The record is from RefSeq and is a predicted model, not a curated record.
AACAAGAUUUGAGUCACGGGAUUUUAUUGAUAGCGAUCACGUCAUGGAGCUCGAUCCAGUCACCGCCAUCUAGCGGUCGAAAUACGUUAUAUUUAUUAUUGAGUUUCGCUGGCUCUUCCACGACCGAAUUGUAGGCGGACGACUUUGCCCUUCGUUCAAUCUGUAAACUUCGCUUUUCCGCAGACGCUCAACUUCGAACGACCGCUUUACCCAUUAUUCUCGUAACGUCAGUGGUAGCUUGGCUAUUACAUUUGGCAUGAUCUCCAUCGAAUCUACGCUUGAUGAAUGUUUCAGGUCUUGAAGCGACGUACAGCAACAGUCCAUCAGUACCGAUAGAUUCUUUAAACCGACGGGGUCGCGCUUAUUUGCUAUAGGAGCGUUUUUUAGACGUUCUUCGCAGUAGCGGGCGAUCUCAUGUGGUUGACCAUAUUCUUCGUACAGCAGUCCUCAUGCGCUACGAUAUCCAACAUCGGGCGGUUUCGAGGUGAGGUGACGUAAUCUAGCUCGUAUACGUGGUGUUCACAGUGCUGUAGUACUGUAGUAUAAGUAGACGAGUUUGAGUUCGUUGCCUUCGGUCUUUUUAUUGAUAUGAGUUUCAAACUGUCUCCGGAAGGUCCCGUAGUUCAUUGGGUUACCGUCAAACUUGUCUAUUACAAGGCGCCGCAGGAAUCGUUUACCAACAUUAGUUAGGCCUACUCUGUUUCGUCUUUCGGGUGCGUGGUUAGUCGGGAUGAAUUCGGUUUCACGGAAGGCGGUAUAUAUACAAGAAUAAGGACCCGAUCGGGUUGGCGGGUAUCUUCGUGUGGGAGGAAACGUGGAUAGCGGUCAGUGUACCGAUCCUCGUUGGGAGCGACAAGUAAACAUUUUUCAUGUUUAACGGGAGUGGCGGAGUUCUGGCGGGGGGUUUCUCUUAAAUUUGCGAACUGCGGCGACGGGCCAGUUCUAAUUCUUUUUGCAUUUUUGUGAAAGCUAGUUCUGCUUCGCCUUUCUCUUCGCAGGCUUGACGCUUGGCUGUUUCCUAUAGCUUAACGGACUUGCCGCUUGGCCCGCAGUCUGGCACGUUGUCGGGUUUCAUGUAUAGCCUUUCUUGUGCUUGCUCCUGGGACUAAUAACACGCUUAUGACGUUAUGCGUGUUAACUUUGUUUUUGCGAGUAAAUAUUCGAGUACUUACGCGCAUAAAAGUGACCAUGCAAAAAAGGCUUAACAAGUCCCCCGAUGUACUUAAAACGCAAGUGUUAUAAACAUUGAUUGAACGAUUUUAUACAGUAUGGUUUAUAGGACUAAGCUGAUUUAUGAUUAUUAAAUCAGUCAUUAAAUAAUGUAUAAGGUACAUUGUAGAACUAGCGCUUUUAAACAAACAGGAAAAUAAUUGUUAAACAAAACAGAAAAGUAAAUUAAAUCUUUUU